AUUGAACGCUGGCGGCAGGCCUAACACAUGCAAGUCGAGCGGGGGUAGCAAUACCCUAGCGGCGAACGGGUGAGGAAUGCUUGGGAAUCUGCCUGGUCGUGGGGGAUAACGUUCCGAAAGGAACGCUAAUACCGCAUACGUCCUACGGGAGAAAGGGGGGGAACUUCGGACUUCUCGCUAUCAGAUGAGCUCAAGCGGGGUUAGCUAGUUGGUGGGGUAAAGGCCCACCAAGGCGACGAUACCUAGCUGGUCUGGGAGGAUGAUCAGCCACACUGGAACUGAGACACGGUCCGGACUCCUACGGGAGGCAGCAGUGGGGAAUAUUGGACAAUGUGCGAAAGCCUGAUCCAGCCAUGCCGCGUGUGUGAAGAAGGCCUUCGGGUUGUAAAGCACUUUAAGCGAGGAGGAAGGUUCGUUACUUAAUACGUAACGGAAUUGACGUUACUCGCAGAAUAAGCACCGGCUAAUUCUGUGCCAGCCGCCGCCGUAA
RNAcentral lists this ribosomal RNA (490 nucleotides) under uncultured bacterium. RNAcentral describes it as "partial 16S ribosomal RNA". It matches the Rfam family "Bacterial small subunit ribosomal RNA", at positions 30 to 523 of the family's 1533-position model. The record is from RNAcentral.